Molecule: ribosomal RNA, 429 nt
Filed under: Acidobacteriota bacterium
Lineage: Bacteria; Pseudomonadati; Acidobacteriota
Description: Acidobacteria bacterium partial 16S ribosomal RNA
Rfam family: Bacterial small subunit ribosomal RNA
Source: RNAcentral
UGGGGAAUUUUGGACAAUGGGGGCAACCCUGAUCCAGCAAUGCCGCGUGUGUGAAGAAGGCCUUCGGGUUGUAAAGCACUUUUGUCCGGGAAGAAAUCGCACCUGAUAAUACCGGGUGUGGAUGACGGUACCGGACGAAUAAGGACCGGCUAACUACGUGCCAGCAGCCGCGGUAAUACGUAGGGUCCAAGCGUUAAUCGGAAUUACUGGGCGUAAAGCGUGCGCAGGCGGUUGUGCAAGACCGAUGUGAAAUCCCCGGGCUUAACCUGGGAAUUGCAUUGGUGACUGCACGGCUAGAGUGUGUCAGAGGGGGGUAGAAUUCCACGUGUAGCAGUGAAAUGCGUAGAGAUGUGGAGGAAUACCGAUGGCGAAGGCAGCCCCCUGGGAUAACACUGACGCUCAUGCACGAAAGCGUGGGGAGCAAACAGG